CCCGCGGCCUAUCAGCUUGUUGGUGGGGUGAUGGCCUACCAAGGCGACGACGGGUAGCCGGCCUGAGAGGGCGACCGGCCACACUGGGACUGAGACACGGCCCAGACUCCUACGGGAGGCAGCAGUGGGGAAUAUUGCGCAAUGGGCGGAAGCCUGACGCAGCGACGCCGCGUGGGGGAUGACGGCCUUCGGGUUGUAAACCUCUUUCGACAGGGACGAAGCGUGAGUGACGGUACCUGUAGAAGAAGCACCGGCCAACUACGUGCCAGCAGCCGCGGUAAUACGUAGGGUGCGAGCGUUGUCCGGAAUUAUUGGGCGUAAAGAGCUCGUAGGCGGUGUGUCACGUCGAUCGUGAAAACUUUCAGCUUAACUGGGAGCUUGCGGUCGAUACGGGCAUCACUGGAGUUCGGCAGGGGAGACUGGAAUUCAAGGUGUAGCGGUGAAAUGCGCAGAUAUCUUGAGGAACACCGGUGGCGAAGGCGGGUCUCUGGGCCGAUACUGACGCUGAGGAGCGAAAGCGUGGGGAGCGAACAGGAUUAGAUACCCUGGUAGUCCACGCCGUAAACGGUGGGCGCUAGGUGUGGGGGCCAUUC
Molecule: ribosomal RNA, 593 nt
Filed under: uncultured actinomycete
Lineage: Bacteria; Bacillati; Actinomycetota; Actinomycetes; Actinomycetales
Description: bacterial SSU rRNA
Rfam family: Bacterial small subunit ribosomal RNA
Source: RNAcentral